This 292-nucleotide ribosomal RNA is filed under the name uncultured prokaryote. Its description in RNAcentral is "partial 16S ribosomal RNA". It matches the Rfam family "Bacterial small subunit ribosomal RNA", at positions 505 to 796 of the family's 1533-position model. The record is from RNAcentral.
GUGCCAGCAGCCGCGGUAAUACGUAGGUGGCAAGCGUUGUCCGGAAUUAUUGGGCGUAAAGGGCUCGCAGGCGGUUUCUUAAGUCUGAUGUGAAAGCCCCCGGCUCAACCGGGGAGGGUCAUUGGAAACUGGGAGACUUGAGUGCAGAAGAGGAAAGUGGAAUUCCAUGUGUAGCGGUGAAAUGCGUAGAGAUAUGGAGGAACACCAGUGGCGAAGGCGACUUUCUGGUCUGUAACUGACACUGAGGCGCGAAAGCGUGGGGAGCAAACAGGAUUAGAAACCCGCGUAGUCC